This 72-nucleotide transfer RNA is filed under the name Paracoccus tibetensis. Its description in RNAcentral is "tRNA_Met_CAT". RNAcentral also lists the same sequence under 1 other name. Lineage: Bacteria; Pseudomonadati; Pseudomonadota; Alphaproteobacteria; Rhodobacterales; Paracoccaceae. The record is from RNAcentral.
AACGUUGGAGAUGCGGCGUAUCGCGGAAUCAUAAUCCGCGUGUCGGGGGUUCAAGUCCCUCCUCCGCUACCA